This 253-nucleotide ribosomal RNA is filed under the name uncultured bacterium. RNAcentral describes it as "partial 16S ribosomal RNA". It matches the Rfam family "Bacterial small subunit ribosomal RNA", at positions 524 to 776 of the family's 1533-position model. The record is from RNAcentral.
UACGUAGGGUGCAAGCGUUGUCCGGAAUUAUUGGGCGUAAAGAGCUCGUAGGCGGUUUGUCGCGUCUGCUGUGAAAUCUAGAGGCUCAACCUCUAGCCUGCAGUGGGUACGGGCAGACUUGAGUGGUGUAGGGGAGACUGGAAUUCCUGGUGUAGCGGUGGAAUGCGCAGAUAUCAGGAGGAACACCGGUGGCGAAGGCGGGUCUCUGGGCCGUAACUGACGCUGAGGAGCGAAAGCAUGGGGAGCGAACAGG